Molecule: non-coding RNA, 399 nt
Organism: Saimiri boliviensis boliviensis (Bolivian squirrel monkey)
Lineage: Eukaryota; Metazoa; Chordata; Mammalia; Primates; Cebidae
Source: RefSeq, a predicted model, not a curated record
UCCUUGAGAGAAGCCCCUAGAGCACAACUCCUCACCAUGGACUGGACCUGGAGGAUCCUCUUCUUGGUGGCAGCAGCAACAGGUGUCCACUCCCAGGUGCAACUGGUGCAGUCUGGGGCUGAGGUGAAGAAGCCUGGGGCCUCAGUGUAGAUCUCCUGCAAGGCUUCUGGAUACACCUUUACCAGCUACUAUAUGAACUGGGUGUGACAGGCCCCUGGACAAGGGCUUGAGUGGAUGGGACGGAUCGACCCUGGUAAUGGUAACACAAACUAUGCACAGAAGUUCCAGGGCAGAGUCAGCAUGACCAGUGACACGUCCACGAGCACAGCCUACAUGGAGCUAAGCAGCCUGAGACCUGAGGACACGGCCGUGUAUUACUGUGGGAGAGACACAGUGUGA